UCGUCGAAUAAUAGACAAAAUGGCACAA
RNAcentral lists this non-coding RNA (28 nucleotides) under Bombyx mori (domestic silkworm). Lineage: Eukaryota; Metazoa; Arthropoda; Insecta; Lepidoptera; Bombycidae. The record is from RNAcentral.